AUAUACGACCGUACCGCAAACCGACACUGGUGCGCGAGAUGAGUAUUCUAAGGCGCUUGAGAGAACUCAGGAGAAGGAACUCGGCAAAUUGACACCGUAACUUCGGAAGAAGGUGUGCCCUAUUAGUGUGUAGUGAACAACGAAGCAUGAAUGGGUUGCAAAAAAUCGGUGGCUGCGACUGUUUAUUAAAAACACAGCACUCUGCAAACACGAAAGUGGACGUAUAGGGUGUGACGCCUGCCCGGUGCUGGAAGAUUAAAUGAUGGGGUGCAAGCUCUUGAUUGAAGUCCCAGUAAACGGCGGCCGUAACUAUAACGGUCCUAAGGUAGCGAAAUUCCUUGUCGGGUAAGUUCCGACCUGCACGAAUGGCGUAACGAUGGCCACACUGUCUCCUCCUGAGACUCAGCGAAGUUGAAAUGUUUGUGAUGAUGCAAUCUCCCCGCGGAAAGACGGAAAGACCCCAUGAACCUUUACUGUAGCUUUGUAUUGGACUUUGAACAGAUCUGUGUAGGAUAGGUGGGAGGCUUUGAAGCAGGGUCGCUAGAUCUUGUGGAGCCAACGUUGAAAUACCACCCUGGUGUGUUUGAGGUUCUAACCUAGGUCCAUUAUCUGGAUCGGGGACAGUGCAUGGUAGGCAGUUUGACUGGGGCGGUCUCCUCCCAAAGCGUAACGGAGGAGUUCGAAGGUACGCUAGUUACGGUCGGACAUCGUGACGAUAGUGCAAUGCAUAAGCGUGCUUAACUGCGAGACUGACAAGUCGAGCAGAUGCGAAAGCAGGACAUAGUGAUCCGGUGGUUCUGUAUGGAAGGGCCAUCGCUCAACGGAUAAAAGGUACUCUGGGGAUAACAGGCUGAUACCGCCCAAGAGUUCAUAUCGACGGCGGUGUUUGGCACCUCGAUGUCGGCUCAUCUCAUCCUGGGGCUGUAGCCGGUCCCAAGGGUAUGGCUGUUCGCCAUUUAAAGAGGUACGUGAGCUGGGUUUAAAACGUCGUGAGACAGUUUGGUCCCUAUCUUCCGUGGGCGCUGCAGAUUUGAGGAAGCCUGCUCCUAGUACGAGAGGACCGGAGUGGACACACCUCUGGUGUAUCGGUUGUCACGCCAGUGGCAUUGCCGAGUAGCUAAGUGUGGAAGAGAUAACCGCUGAAAGCAUCUAAGCGGGAAACUCGUUUCAAGAUGAGAUCUGCCGGGGCCUUGAGCCCCCUAAAGAGUCGUUCAAGACCAGGACGUUGAUAGGUCAGGUGUGGAAGCCAAAAAAGAAG
This 1258-nucleotide ribosomal RNA is filed under the name metagenome. RNAcentral describes it as "bacterial LSU rRNA". It matches the Rfam family "Bacterial large subunit ribosomal RNA", at positions 1634 to 2885 of the family's 2925-position model. The record is from RNAcentral.